Molecule: long non-coding RNA, 539 nt
Organism: Plodia interpunctella (Indianmeal moth)
Lineage: Eukaryota; Metazoa; Arthropoda; Insecta; Lepidoptera; Pyralidae
Exons: 3
Source: RefSeq, a predicted model, not a curated record
UCGUUCCGGAAAAGCCAGAAAUAAUAUAUACUAAUCCUAAAUAUAUAAAAGAUUUAAAGUUUACCGUACACAGGAAAGGCAGAGGCAGUCCUUAUUACAUAGACUUUUAUGUUGAAUCACUAACAGGCUGUGGAGACAAUUUGACGGUAAAUCUGAAAAUUUAUGAAUAUAUUGGAGGUAACUAUGUGCCACUCGGUAUACAAGGAAAUUUCACACUGUGUGAUUUCUUGGCAAACGAGCCUUAUUUGGGGAAAAUGUUCAUGAACCAAGUUCAAAAACAAAAUUAUACAUGUCCGUUCAGACCUGGAGUCUACGAAUUCAAUGAUCUGCUUUUCCACUUGGAGGACUUCCCAUUCAAUAUACCUUUUACCUGGUCAUCAAUCACAGUGCGCACAAUGAGUGAACUCAUUGCCCAUCACACUGAUACUAAAGAACCUAUUUUUAGAUAUAAGUUCCACUUUAUUGUUCACCAGAAACCCAAAAACAAGUCCUGAUUUAUCUCAUUCUCACUUCAAUUUAAAUAAAAAAUAAAAAUCUGU